Long non-coding RNA from Monodelphis domestica (gray short-tailed opossum), 564 nucleotides. RefSeq lists it as uncharacterized. NCBI's taxonomy places the organism in Eukaryota, Metazoa, Chordata, Mammalia, Didelphimorphia, Didelphidae. The record is from RefSeq and is a predicted model, not a curated record.
CGGAGGAGGGGAAGGGGGGAGGAGGGAAGGAGGAGGGCUCGUGCUCCUGGAGCCGAGCCUCGAGCCUCUACCGGGCUUUGUGGAACAGGUCGAGGCUCUGGAAGGCCAAGGGAGCUCGUGAGCCCCAUCAGCUCAACGGUGUCUUUCCUGAGGGGGCCUGGCGAAGAAGGUGGUUGAUUAGGUGCGGCUCCCCGCCUUGGGGCUGCCACCGAGCUCUUGAGGGACGAGUGUCUCCUCUUCGGAAACCCGCAUCUUUAGAGAUUCUCCAUGGCGGUUCUGGGCUUUCUCCGAGGAGCCACACGGGAGGGGCCUCUAGUGCGCCAUUGCCACCAGCCUCCUGACCCGGCUCUGGGACCUGCCACCAUUUCGGGGGGGCCUGGCACCCCGCCCAGCCUUCUCCCCAGCCUAGCUGGUGGGGGUCGUGGGGAGAUGAGGAGGCUUAGGCCUUUCACGAGGACCCCACGAUGGGGAUCUGGAUCCAGUCUAGUUGCCUUUGCAACUGGCAACAGACAUGAGUUUUAUGUUUAAAAUAACAAUAAAAUGGCCUACAUUUAAUAGGACAAA